This 253-nucleotide ribosomal RNA is filed under the name uncultured bacterium. Its description in RNAcentral is "partial 16S ribosomal RNA". It matches the Rfam family "Bacterial small subunit ribosomal RNA", at positions 524 to 776 of the family's 1533-position model. The record is from RNAcentral.
UACAGAGGGUGCAAGCGUUGUUCGGAAUUAUUGGGCGUAAAGGGCGUGUAGGCUGUUAGGUAAGUCUUCUGUGAAAUCUACGGGCUUAGCCUGUAACGUGCAGAGGAAACUACCUGGCUUGAGUGUCGGAGAGGAUAGGGGAAUACCCAGUGUAGAGGUGAAAUUCGUAGAGAUUGGGUGGAACACCAGUGGCGAAGGCGCCUAUCUGGCUGACAACUGACGCUGAGACUCGAAAGCAUGGGGAGCAAACAGG